Long non-coding RNA from Arachis ipaensis, 504 nucleotides. RefSeq lists it as uncharacterized. The record is from RefSeq and is a predicted model, not a curated record. NCBI's taxonomy places the organism in Eukaryota, Viridiplantae, Streptophyta, Magnoliopsida, Fabales, Fabaceae.
UAAAUUUCUGAUUAAAUACUAAGUUUCAAGAUUAGUCUUAGCCUUAGGCAAUGCCAGUGAUUAUCAUGAUCAAUUUAGGGAAUAGCUUCUUGUUUAUUUGAUGCAGGAUGCUCUAGGAUGCAAGAGAUUCUCUCUAAGGUUCUAGAAUAAGCUUGACACAGCUUCAUUGGUGGCGUCUCUGCUUCGUGGCAGGGUAAGGCGAACGAGAGUCCCAUGACUGAACUGUCAUGUGCUUCUUCCUGUCAGUUUAAGCUUUCGUAAUAAAUAGUUUCAUGACAGGCAUUCUUCCAUAUUUAAUGGCGGUUUGCACCUUUUGUGAUGGAAAACUUCUUUUACAAGAAAGCGACAAAGGCUUCAAAACAAAGAAAGGAAGAUACUUCUUUCCUUGUGCAGUUUUUGGUGUUUCUGUUGUAGCUUUCCUGAGUGGAGGAACAAAAAGGUGGCAUGGAAUUUAAGUUGGGAAAAAAAAAAUAAAAAAAGUUAAAAGUAGAAGGAGGUGUGAAA